Long non-coding RNA from Cuculus canorus (common cuckoo), 406 nucleotides. RefSeq lists it as uncharacterized. The record is from RefSeq and is a predicted model, not a curated record. Lineage: Eukaryota; Metazoa; Chordata; Aves; Cuculiformes; Cuculidae. The transcript is spliced from 3 exons.
GUCACAAUAGAAAAAAUACACUCAAUACCCUCUUGGAAACUAUUGUGCUUAUCUUUUUGAUUUCUCCCUGGCUAGAAAGUCUGUUGGCUGUCACGAUAAUCUAAUUUGUAUUUUACAAGUCUGAAUGGAAUAAAUGCUUAUUAAAAUCUCUUGCUUAUUUUCAAUAUUUUGGAUUUUCCCAUUCAGGCAAUGAGCUGAUUUAUUUGGACCCUCACACCACCCAAAGUUUUGUAGAUUCAGAAGAAAAUGGCACAGUUGAUGAUGAGAGCUUCCACUGCCAGCAAGCCCCACACAGAAUGAAGAUCAUGAGUUUAGACCCUUCAGUAGCUUUAGGCUUCUUUUGCAAAGAAGAAUGUGAUUUUGAUAACUGGUGUACUCUUGUACAAAAGGAGAUCCUAAAGCAGCU